UGAGGCGAAAGGCAGUGCGCCCGUGCCAGCA
RNAcentral lists this small RNA (31 nucleotides) under Bombyx mori (domestic silkworm). RNAcentral's name for it is "ovarian small RNA-32224". Lineage: Eukaryota; Metazoa; Arthropoda; Insecta; Lepidoptera; Bombycidae. The record is from RNAcentral.